AACGAACGCUGGCGGCAUGCCUAACACAUGCAAGUCGAACGAGACCUUCGGGUCUAGUGGCGCACGGCUGCGUAACGCGUGGGAACCUACCCUUAGGUUCGGAAUAACUCCCCGAAAGGGGUGCUAAUACCGGAUAAUGUCUUCGGACCAAAGAUUUAUCGCCUUUGGAUGGGCCCGCGUUGGAUUAGCUGGUUGGUAGGGUAAAAGCCUACCAAGGAGACGAUGCAUAGCUGGUCUGAGAGGAUGAUCAGCCACACUAGGACUGAGACACGGCCCAGACUCCUACGGGAGGCAGCAGUGGGGAAUAUUGGACAAUGGGCGAAAGCCUGAUCCAGCAAUGCCGCGUGAGUGAUGAAGGCCUUAGGGUUGUAAAGCUCUUUUACCCGGGAUGAUAAUGACAGUACCGGGAGAAUAAGCUCCGGCUAACUCCGUG
This 433-nucleotide ribosomal RNA is filed under the name uncultured bacterium. RNAcentral's name for it is "partial 16S ribosomal RNA". It matches the Rfam family "Bacterial small subunit ribosomal RNA", at positions 29 to 507 of the family's 1533-position model. The record is from RNAcentral.